Molecule: non-coding RNA, 109 nt
Organism: Fimicolochytrium jonesii
Lineage: Eukaryota; Fungi; Chytridiomycota; Chytridiomycetes; Spizellomycetales; Powellomycetaceae
Source: the annotation of a RefSeq genome assembly
GACACUGUGUCCGAGUGGUUAAGGAGUUUGCCUCGAAUAGUGCGACUCGAAGUCGUGUCUGGAAAGCAAAUAGGCUCUGCCUGCAGAGGUUCGAAUCCUCUCAGUGUCG